AGAUAACCGCCGGAUGAACGGGCAUCAUUGAUGUUGAUGAUCAUAGAUUUAUUAAAAUCUGUUAUUUU
Molecule: transfer RNA, 68 nt
Filed under: Aldisa cooperi
Lineage: Eukaryota; Metazoa; Mollusca; Gastropoda; Nudibranchia; Dorididae
Description: tRNA-Ile
Source: RNAcentral